UAUGCUUCCACCUCAUUUCAUUUUGGCCUCUGUGAACAGAACAUGGCGAUUCACCCGAGGAUCAUACUUCCGAAACUCAAGUUUCUCAGUAAUUUUCUUAGAACUCUUUCUUUUAACAUAGAAGAAUCCAGUCCCAGCAGCUGAAACAAGCCGGAUGAACAUGAACGUCUUCUUCUUCUUGUCACCCAUUCCUAAUUGCAUACACAAGAUAAAGCCACCAAGACAGUGUAAACACGUGCUUUAAAGAAAGAACAUAUAUUUUUCGUAUUACAAUUAGAAACAAUAGAUAUCACUGAUAAGUGUAUGCGUAAGUGUGCAUCUGGAAUCCAAAUCCAUCGUAGACAAUAUAUAACAUGCUUCUCAUCUCUAACCUAAAAUUUGCCUACCGGGCACAGACGGUCUUGAAUCUAGAUAGAUGAUAUCAAAAUAGUUAAGACAAUAAAUUUGAGGGAUUAGACAGAAUCUCAAUUCCAAACACCAUAUAAAAGACGUCCACAAAAAAUGAAUCUCAAUUGGUCAUUUUAUCGAGCAUCUAUUGAGCAAGUCUCAGAGGCGACCCAGAAUCAAUUUCGCACGUCAAAACUCCUCGCUCCAUAUUGGCAUAAUUAUCACAACAAAUGGGUACCUAGAAAUAAAGAAUUGCUACUCCUGCGAGUCAGCAACAAUCUGAAAAUAAAACCCAAUGCUGUGUUGGCAGCAAGAGAAAAACUUUAACCAGUGGAAACAAAAACAGAGAAUUCGAGAAAAUUUCCAUCAAUGAAUCAAUUCAAAAAGAAAAGUUGAAUUUGAACUCACUAGCCAAUCUUCUUACAACGAGUGAACAAAAGGGCACCCGAUAAACCAAGGAAAUGCAAGAGAUAGAACAGCUCAGCAACAAAAACCCAAAACCCUAGAAGAAGCGGAGCGAGUAAAGUGGCAAUCUUUUCUAUCCUAUAAAAUGACACAAAUGUCCUCGUUCACUGAGAUGUUUUCCUUCGAGUAGGUGUCAUGUUAUCCUAUCCUCCACCUAACGGCGCACAUUAGCAUUACCCAGUCUUUCUCACUGAUUUCUCAGCACCUAAACGAUCUCGUUUCCUUUCCCUUCUCUAUCACUCGCAAAGCUGUUUCUCUGUUUCUCAGUAGCAACGAGGAGGUACAAUUAUUCUAGAAAAAGGGAAAAAAGAAAAAGUUUUGGUCAAUUUGUUUUUCAACCCUUCACUUUUCUGUUUGAUUAGUGAGAAAAUGAGGAAAUGUUGAGAAAACAACUAAAUUUUUUUUUUCUUCUUAGUAUUUAUAGAAUCGAUUAGAGAUGGCGAGUGCGGUGGACGCUACGGGGAAUCCGAUCCCCACAUCUGCGGUGUUGACGGCAUCAUCAAAGCACAUAUCGGCGAGAUGCUUACAGGAGAAUGUGGCGUUCCUCAAGUGCAAGAAGAAGGAUCCGAACCCGGAGAAAUGCCUCGAUAAGGGCCAGGAAGUCACUCGCUGCGUCCUUGGCCUGCUGAAAGAUCUUCACCAGAGGUGCACAAAGGAGAUGGAUGCGUAUGUUGGUUGCAUGUAUUAUCAUACAAAUGAAUUUGAUUUGUGUCGCAAAGAGCAGCAAGCAUUUGAGAAAGCAUGCCCUUUGGAAUGAUUGGCAAACUGAACUUAUUAUAAUGCCUUGGUUACAAUAAUUAGGACAGUUUGCAAUGAGCAAAUACUGUUGUUGUUUCUGGUUUCCUGACACGAAUCAUCGUCAUUUUGUAUGGUUCAAAAUGUUCUUUAGGAAUUGCUUCAAAUAAAAAAAGAUGGGACCUUGCCUCCUUUUUAAGCAUAGAAGUUGUUGAUCAUUAUUUGCUUUUACAGUAAACAGAUGGUUUGAAUUUUGGUUUCAAAUAGGUUUUACUUUAAUAUGUUCAUUCAGCAGCUAGUUCAUAGAUUUUUUUUUUCUUAAUAAAGAGCUAAGGACCAAGGCUAAA
RNAcentral lists this unclassified non-coding RNA (1934 nucleotides) under Hevea brasiliensis (rubber tree). The record is from RNAcentral. Lineage: Eukaryota; Viridiplantae; Streptophyta; Magnoliopsida; Malpighiales; Euphorbiaceae.